CAGUGUACAGCGGUCAGUCGACCCAGCCAGACGUUAAUCGAUUGUUUUGACCGUUAAAUAAUACGUGCGUUACACCGAAAACAUCUGCAAGUGGAAGCUCGCUGCCGAUUACUGAUACCUACGAUACGCCAAGAUGAGGAUCAACGUCCUGACAACUUUUCUUUUCACUGGGAUUUUGUGCCUGACCUGCGGACAAAGAAAUGAUUCAGCGGCGAGUAUCGUAUAUAGAAAUGCACUACAGGUCGUGAGAGAUGUG
Molecule: long non-coding RNA, 256 nt
Organism: Neodiprion fabricii
Lineage: Eukaryota; Metazoa; Arthropoda; Insecta; Hymenoptera; Diprionidae
Exons: 3
Source: RefSeq, a predicted model, not a curated record